This 84-nucleotide transfer RNA is filed under the name Candidatus Yanofskyibacteriota bacterium. RNAcentral's name for it is "Candidatus Yanofskybacteria bacterium tRNA-Leu". It matches the Rfam family "tRNA". Rfam says of the family: Transfer RNA (tRNA) molecules are approximately 80 nucleotides in length. Their secondary structure includes four short double-helical elements and three loops (D, anti-codon, and T loops). Lineage: Bacteria; Candidatus Yanofskyibacteriota. The record is from RNAcentral.
GCUCGGGUGAUGGAAUUGGUAGACAUUACGGACUUAAAAUCCGUUGACCGCAAGGUCGUGCCGGUUCGACUCCGGCCCCGAGCA